RNAcentral lists this ribosomal RNA (497 nucleotides) under uncultured bacterium. RNAcentral's name for it is "partial 16S ribosomal RNA". It matches the Rfam family "Bacterial small subunit ribosomal RNA", at positions 28 to 507 of the family's 1533-position model. The record is from RNAcentral.
GAUGAACGCUGGCGGCGUGCCUAAUACAUGCAAGUCGAGCGAACAGACGAGGAGCUUGCUCCUCUGACGUUAGCGGCGGACGGGUGAGUAACACGUGGAUAACCUACCUAUAAGACUGGGAUAACUUCGGGAAACCGGAGCUAAUACCGGAUAAUAUAUUGAACCGCAUGGUUCAAUAGUGAAAGACGGUUUUGCUGUCACUUAUAGAUGGAUCCGCGCCGCAUUAGCUAGUUGGUAAGGUAACGGCUUACCAAGGCAACGAUGCGUAGCCGACCUGAGAGGGUGAUCGGCCACACUGGAACUGAGACACGGUCCAGACUCCUGCGGGAGGCAGCAGUCGGGAAUCUUCCGCAAUGGGCGAAAGCCUGACGGAGCAACGCCGCGUGAGUGAUGAAGGUCUUCGGAUCGUAAAACUCUGUUAUUAGGGAAGAACAAAUGUGUAAGUAACUAUGCACGUCUUGACGGUACCUAAUCAGAAAGCCACGGCUAACUACGUG